AGGACGAACGCUGGCGGCGUGCUUAACACAUGCAAGUCGAGCGGAAAGGCCCUUCGGGGUACUCGAGCGGCGAACGGGUGAGUAACACGUGAGCAAUCUGCCCUUAGCUUCGGGAUAGCCCCGGGAAACCGGGAUUAAUACCGAAUAUGACCUCGGCCGACAUCGGCUUUGGUGGAAAGUUUUUCGGCUAGGGAUGAACUCGCGGCCUAUCAGCUUGUUGGUGGGGUAAUGGCCUACCAAGGCGACGACGGGUAGCCGGCCUGAGAGGGCGACCGGCCACACUGGGACUGAGACACGGCCCAGACUCCUACGGGAGGCAGCAGUGGGGAAUAUUGCGCAAUGGGCGAAAGCCUGACGCAGCGACGCCGCGUGGGGGAUGAAGGCCUUCGGGUUGUAAACCCCUUUCAGCAGGGACGAAGCGAGAGUGACGGUACCUGCAGAAGAAGCGCCGGCUAACGUACGCGCCAGCAGCCGC
This 475-nucleotide ribosomal RNA is filed under the name uncultured bacterium. RNAcentral describes it as "SSU rRNA". It matches the Rfam family "Bacterial small subunit ribosomal RNA", at positions 26 to 518 of the family's 1533-position model. The record is from RNAcentral.